GUUGCUCGGCUCCAUGGAGGCGGCGGCGGCCGGCAAGGGCGCAUGGGGACCCGAGGUGGACCGGCUAUGGUAGUAGCCAGCGGCGUUGGGUGGUCGUUAGUGUCCAGAUUCUCAGGCGAAAGCCAUGACCGGUCUUGACCGGUGCCGGCGGCGAUGGUGCCAUGAUGCAUCCUUCUCCUUGACGAAGGCGUUGCGGCGAGAAUAUCGACCUCCAGGAACAUUUUUCCAGUAAAAACCAAAGGACCCGACUCGCAUGGUCAGGCGGCGGUGAUGUCUUGGCGUUGCUUUGCUUCCCUCUUAAGGUUUCCAAGUACUUGGAUGGCGGUACCGUAUCAAAUGGUGGUGCACGGGUUGUUUCUGUACACUUGUUUAGGUUGCUAGAGUGUGCCAAGCAAGAUGAUCCUAUAGAUGUGAGGGAUAGUUGCUGGCUUGCUGCACAAGACCCAAUGCAAAGGUGAAGUAGGAGCAUAGGGUGUUUGAUACGAGGUGCUAAACUUUAACAGUGUCACAUCAGAUGUUCAGAUACUAAUUAGGAGGACUAAACAUGAGCUAAUUAUAAAACUAAUUGCAGAACCCUGUGCUAAUUCGUGAGAUGAAUCUAUUAAGUCUAAUUAAUCCAUCAUUAGCAAAUGGUUACUGUAGCACCACAUUGUCAAAUCAUGGACUAAUUAGGCUUAAUAGAUUCGUCUCGCGAAUUAUACUCCAUUUAUGCAAUUAGUUUUGUAAUUAGCCUAUGUUUAAUACUCCUAAUUAGUAUCAAACAUCCGAUGUGACAGGUGUUAAAUUUUAACAGGGUGUUUCCAAACACCCCCGAAAUUUGAAGCGCAGUCUUUCAAACUUUCUUUCCUAGUCUCUUCCUUUCUUAUUUUCUUUGUUUGGUGUGGGACUGCGUAGUCGAAUUUGUUUGUUUGCUAGAGUGUGCCAAGCAAGAUCAUCCUAUAGAUGUGAGGGAUAGUUGCUGGCUUGCUGCACAAGACCCAAUGCAAAGGUGAAGUAGGAGCAUUUAGAAGCGCCGUCUUUCAAACUUUCUUUCCUAGUCUCUUCCUUUCUUAUUUUCUUUGUUUGGUGUGGAGUCCUUUGUUUGGUGUGGAGUCUAAGUAGUCAUGUAUCUUCUGACUACGUCGUCGAAUUUGUUUGUUU
This 1140-nucleotide long non-coding RNA is filed under the name Setaria italica (foxtail millet). Its description in RNAcentral is "long non-coding RNA (SITA_LNC007074)". The record is from RNAcentral. Lineage: Eukaryota; Viridiplantae; Streptophyta; Magnoliopsida; Poales; Poaceae.